This 427-nucleotide ribosomal RNA is filed under the name uncultured bacterium. RNAcentral's name for it is "bacterial SSU rRNA". It matches the Rfam family "Bacterial small subunit ribosomal RNA", at positions 355 to 774 of the family's 1533-position model. The record is from RNAcentral.
UAGGGAAUUUUGGACAAUGGACGCAAGUCUGAUCCAGCCAUGCCGCGUGCGGGAAGAAGGCCUUCGGGUUGUAAACCGCUUUUGUCAGGGAAGAAACGAGUUUCUCUAAUACAGAGACUUAAUGACGGUACCUGAAGAAUAAGCACCGGCUAACUACGUGCCAGCAGCCGCGGUAAUACGUAGGGUGCAAGCGUUAAUCGGAAUUACUGGGCGUAAAGCGUGCGCAGGCGGUUAUGCAAGACAGAUGUGAAAUCCCCGGGCUCAACCUGGGACCUGCAUUUGUGACUGCAUAGCUAGAGUACGGCAGAGGGGGAUGGAAUUCCGCGUGUAGCAGUGAAAUGCGUAGAUAUGCGGAGGAACACCGAUGGCGAAGGCAAUCCCCUGGGCCUGUACUGACGCUCAUGCACGAAAGCGUGGGGAGCAAACA